GAUGAACGCUGGCGGCGUGCCUAAUACAUGCCAGUCGAGCGAACGGACGAGAAGCUUGCUUUUCUGAUGUUAGCGGCGGACGGGUGAGUAACACGUGGAUAACCUACCUAUAAGACUGGGAUAACUUCGGGAAACCGGAGCUAAUACCGGAUAAUAUUUUGAACCGCAUGGUUCAAAAGUGAAAGACGGUCUUGCUGUCACUUAUAGAUGGAUCCGCGCUGCAUUAGCUAGUUGGUAAGGUAACGGCUUACCAAGGCAACGAUGCAUAGCCGACCUGAGAGGGUGAUCGGCCACACUGGAACUGAGACACGGUCCAGACUCCUACGGGAGGCAGCAGUAGGGAAUCUUCCGCAAUGGGCGAAAGCCUGACGGAGCAACGCCGCGUGAGUGAUGAAGGUCUUCGGAUCGUAAAACUCUGUUAUUAGGGAAGAACAUAUGUGUAAGUAACUGCGCACAUCUUGACGGUACCUAAUCAGAAAGCCACGGCUAACUACGUG
Molecule: ribosomal RNA, 497 nt
Filed under: uncultured bacterium
Lineage: Bacteria
Description: partial 16S ribosomal RNA
Rfam family: Bacterial small subunit ribosomal RNA
Source: RNAcentral